CGGCGGUAAUUCCAGCUCCACUAGCGUAUAUUAAAGUUGCUGCAGUUAAAAAGCUCGUAGUCGGAUCUCGGGAUCGUGUCGGCGGCUUUGUCGCUUCUUCUGCGCUUCGGCGUUGGGAGUUGUGGCAGGUCGUCGGCCCUGUCGGCGAGGUCCCCACCCUUGGUGGGGUUCCACCUCGCUCGUGCAGCCCGCCGUCGCGUUUGGGCGGGUGUCCUUAAUUGGAUGCCCGCUCUCGAACGUGGCCAUUUUACCUUGAACAAAUCGGAGUGCUCAAAGCAGGCUCUUCAUCGCUCGAACGGUAGCGCAUGGAAUAAUGGAAGAGGACCGGCUUCCGCUUCUGUUGGUCUCACGGAGGCAGGUAAUGAUCAAGAGGGACGGAUGGGGGCAGAGGUAUGGCCUGGCGAGAGGUGAAAUUCUUGGACCCUGGCCAGACCCUCGAGAGCGAAAGCAUCUGCCAAAGAUGUUUCCAUUGAUCAAGAACGAAAGUCGCGGGAUCGAACGGGAUUAGAUACCCCGGUAGUCGCGACCGCAAACGAUGCCAACCGGGAAUUCGGCGGCGUUACUUCCAUGACCCGUCGAGCGCCCGACCCGGGAAACCGAGAGUCUUUGGGUUCCGGGGGGAGUAUGGUUGCAAAGCUGAAACUUAAAGGAAUUGACGGAAGGGCACCACCAGGAGUGGAGCCUGCGGCUUAAUUUGACUCAACACGGGGAACCUCACCCGGCCCGGACACCGCGAGGAUUGACAGACUGAGAGCUCUUUCUCGAUUCGGUGGGUGGUGGUGCAUGGCCGUUCUUAGUUGGUGGAGCGAUCUGUCUGGUUAAUUCCGAUAACGAACGAGACCCCAACCUGCUAACUAGCCCUCGGGUCCUGCUUCUGUUGGGCCCGACGGAAUGAUUCGCUUCUUAGAAGGACUCGCGGCGCCUAGCCGCACGAAGGGGGGCGAUAACAGGUCUGUGAUGCCCUUAGAUGUUCGGGGCUGCACGCGCGCUACACUGAAGGCAUCAGCGUGCGCUUUGUCCGUUCCCUGCCUGAAAAGGCUGGGUAACCCGCUGAACCGCCUUCGUGCCUGGGAUAGGGAUUUGCAAUUAUCUCCCUUGAACGAGGAAUUCCCAGUAGGCGCGAGUCAUCAGCUCGCGUCGAUUACGUCCCUGCCCUUUGUACACACCGCCCGUCGCUACUACCGAUCGAACGAUGUAGUGAGGUCCUCGGACUGGCAUCUACUCGGAAGCCGGGCUCGCUCGGUAGAAGAGCUUGUUUGCCGGGAAGAGGAUCAAACUGGAUCGUUUAGAGGAAGUAAAAGUCGUAACAAGGUUUCCGUAGGUGAACCUGCAGAAGGAUCA
This 1341-nucleotide ribosomal RNA is filed under the name Parasagitta elegans. RNAcentral's name for it is "SSU rRNA". It matches the Rfam family "Eukaryotic small subunit ribosomal RNA", at positions 574 to 1828 of the family's 1831-position model. Lineage: Eukaryota; Metazoa; Chaetognatha; Sagittoidea; Aphragmophora; Sagittidae. The record is from RNAcentral.